UGCAUCCGUCAUCUGAAGUCUAUCAAGAACACAAAACUCGCCAGGCCUCUGUGAUUGGGUUUCUAUAUAACACUACAGCAGCAUUUUAUAUGGCUCCUAUGUUUCCCUGAAGUCAGAUUUUCAGAAAUCUUAGCUUCACUUAAUCAACUUUCGGUGCCACUAAUUCAGAAAAGCCUUGACACCCGGGAUGAGAGAUGAGAGAUCUCUCAUCUUUGUGAUCUCUAUCUAUCAGUUGAUCACGAUGAAGAAGAGGACUCACAAGACGACGGUCUGAUCUGCCUGUGCGGCGUCAUUAAGAUUCACGCUGCUCCAAUAUAUGGCAGUUUUUAUUGUAGUGGGAAUAUUGAUGAUGCUGCACCAGCAAAUCUAUGACUAUAUUUGCUUCCCGCUGUACUUUGGAUCCAACCAAUCUCAAUCGGAAUUCUUAAUUUCAUGUGAAAUACAAUUAAGCUUGCUGCAGGAGGCCUGAAAAGUAAAAAUUUCGACAACGUAUACGUAUAGGAUCAAGUACAUGAAGAACGCGCAAGAUACAGUGACGAAGGCGUUGGGUUCCUGAUUGUGGUUUUCAAAUUGGUACAUCCUGACAGAUAUCACCAUGUUGAAGAUUUGUGGACUGCCUUGCUGAUGGCGAGAAACUUUCAGACCCUAGAUUGGAGUUCGACUGCUUACGACCUAUUUUCACAUGCAUGGAUUUUGUGUGGGAAUGAGUGAAUCAGUGAACAGUCACUCCAACGCGUGGUGUGACUUUUAUGGUGAGUGCAGUAAUCUGCCGUGGAUGGGGAUGUAUUUGGUUCAGAAUACUCUUCAUGGCUGUAUACGUACGGAUCGGAUGAGAAACUAUUAAUAGCAUUUGAAAACUUUCUUCCAUAAUGUUUAAUUUCCUUUUCCGUCUCUGUUUUGCUUUAAGCGUGGACGAUAGUACGAACAUGGUUGACACGACCACAA
Molecule: long non-coding RNA, 945 nt
Organism: Prosopis cineraria
Lineage: Eukaryota; Viridiplantae; Streptophyta; Magnoliopsida; Fabales; Fabaceae
Exons: 7
Source: RefSeq, a predicted model, not a curated record